Molecule: non-coding RNA, 73 nt
Organism: Mesoplodon densirostris (Blainville's beaked whale)
Lineage: Eukaryota; Metazoa; Chordata; Mammalia; Artiodactyla; Ziphiidae
Source: the annotation of a RefSeq genome assembly
UCCCUGGAGGUCCAGUGGUUAGAACUCUGCACUUACAUUGCCGAGGGCCCAGGUUCAAUCCCUGGCUGGGGAG